CUUUUCAUGGAGCUGUGGGGUAAUUAAUCACCAUGCCACUGAUUACACACGUGUCGAUUCGCUAAACAAAACAAAUCAGCGUUGUUCUCCCAUCGCCCCCUCCUCAGACUAGUGCUGCCACCUACGGAUUGGGCACUGUCGGCCCCAAUCUCCGGCGAAAAUGGAUGCUGAGACUGCAACCGCCGUCGCCGCGUUCCAUGCCGCGCCGGGGCUGCAGGCACUGGGCUGCGCUGCCGCAGCUAGCCGAGACGCGCAGUGCCGCUGCUUGUGGUCGGUCGUAGGGGCGACAGGGCUGCCGCGCUGGUGCUGCAAGCGCCGCCGCCGCGCUGGUCAGUAGCAGGGGCUCCGUCUUCUAUCCUUUGCAGGUCUCCAGCAUCUUCUCCAUUGACUCGCGCAAAGUAACCAUAGCUUAUUCCUCCCCAAAUCUGAGCAGAAAAAGAAAUCAAAAUCAAGAAUAAGAAAGGAAGGCGAGUAUCCACAACACGCCUACCCGGUGAGAGUCUGGAGCGUUGCUCCUCCAAGGCUCCGACCUCAUGUGCGACUUCACACUUGUGCAGGCGGCAUUCCAGGUGCCACCACAUGCUUGGUUGUCCUGGUCUUGCGCUGUCGCAGGUCUUGACCAUCAAUUCAGGCAAGCUGUGACUGUGUGAUGUUCUUAUAGGUCCAUCUAUCUGUCGAUUUCAUCGAUUUCGUCACCGAUUCCUUCAAAAAUUAGGCAAGCUACGACCGUCUCUCUCUGAAUCGAGACGUCAAUUCCGACGGCGAUGCAGAUCCCACGUCGAAGGUUGGAGCGACCGAGUGGGGUAGGCCAUUGGGUGGGACGAAAAUAGGGUAGCAGGGUGACGGGAGGCUUGGGGUGGUCGGCGGUGGUCACAGAGGCGAGCUCCGGCGAGAGGGUCGGACAUGGC
This 908-nucleotide long non-coding RNA is filed under the name Setaria italica (foxtail millet). RNAcentral's name for it is "long non-coding RNA (SITA_LNC003452)". The record is from RNAcentral. Lineage: Eukaryota; Viridiplantae; Streptophyta; Magnoliopsida; Poales; Poaceae.